CUUUUUUAAUUUAUUCAGUACUGAGCCACAGUUUUUGUUUGAUUUUGGAGUCUUGACUGGUGUUAGAGAGUAGGUCCUCAUUUUAAAACCUUGAAAUCCUUUGCACAGACAGCUGUUUUAGCUAAUCUAAAUUGAUAGACAAAUGUAAAUUCCUCGUGGGAUCUUGGCAGAGCCUUGACAGGAGUAACUGGAUAAUCAGAUUGCAUGUAGAGAGAACUCUCAGCGCAAGUCUUCACACCAAACUGUUUGCUGUUCCAAGGUCUACCAAGGUGUAUACCCGAUACAAAUGCUACAUUGGUAUUUUGAAGCCAUAUACGCUUCACUGAUGACAUUUCUGAAUUCAUCCGCAUAUACACAAUAUGUUUGAAGAGAAAAGAAGAUUCUUCUUUUGAAAAAAUACAAGUUCUCUGGUUUUGCCACCAGCCAGUCAUGGACAAUAGCAUCUUUGGAGGUUCAUUUAAAAAAAAAAAAAAAAAAAAAAAAAGGAAAAGAAAAGUACGUUUAGCUUUAGAGAGAAGUUGAAUACGAUGAUUCACUGAUCAUAGUGAGUACUGUUGAGUAAUAACAAGAAGAGAACCCUUGAAAGGUGCCUAUGGACUGAGAAGGAGCAGGAGCAGGAAGCAGGAUCAAGGCUUGGAGGCAAGAGUUGUAAAAGAAGCUGUGAAUGGACAGAACAAAGACAACUGACCAAACAGGCCAGAGGGAUGUUCCAUACCAUAUGAUGUCAUGCUCAGCCAUAAAACUAGGUGGAGUUUUCUUGAGGAGCUGCUACUGUUCGUGGACUGGCAUCAGCGAGCAGUAGUCUUGAGAAUCUGGAGAAGUCCUAGCUGACUGGAAGCUGGAAACUGCUGUCCAACUUCAGUUCCCAUUGAAAUUAUGGAGAAGAUUAUUCUGGGAGCUAUUGAAAAACACUCGGAAGACAAUGUACUCAUUUGUUACAGCCAACACGGGUUCACAAGGGAAAGCUGUGUUUAAUGAACAUAAUAUCCUUUUAUGACAAGGUUACCCACCUAGUUGACCAAGGGAAGCCAGUUGAUGAAAGCUUUUUGGAUUUCAAUAAAAUUCUUCCAGUUUUUCAUAGUUCCUCACUAUAAUCUUCUGGACUUCUGGACAAUAUAUCCAUCAUACAGAUAUACAAAAAAAAAAAAAAAA
This 1152-nucleotide long non-coding RNA is filed under the name Gallus gallus (chicken). Its description in RNAcentral is "lncRNA (ENSGALG00010008798.1)". The record is from RNAcentral. Lineage: Eukaryota; Metazoa; Chordata; Aves; Galliformes; Phasianidae.